This 503-nucleotide long non-coding RNA is filed under the name Equus caballus (horse). RNAcentral's name for it is "lncRNA (ENSECAG00000059456.1)". The record is from RNAcentral. Lineage: Eukaryota; Metazoa; Chordata; Mammalia; Perissodactyla; Equidae.
UAGUCCAGAUCAAUUACAUCAGGAUUGCUGGGAGGAUUCCCCAGUAUUUCUAAUGGACAUCUAAGGCUGAGAAUCACUGUUUUAUUGGCCAGGAAGUAGCUUAUGAGAAACUGGCUGGGAGCUAUAUUAGAGAUAGAGAAGAGCUUGGAUUGUGGAAAACCUAGCUAUGUGGAGUUAAUUAUUUUAAUCUAAUUCUAAUGUUUCUAUUGCAAGCUGCCUUAAAGUAUUUUCCUAAGUCAGGCCAAAGUAAAUCCAGAGCCUGGAAUAGCAGAUGAAGGAGUUUGAACUUUAUGCUGUGGCAGUGAAAGGUCAUGUUUGGUCCUUGAAGAGUUUUGAGCAGAGGAUGAUCUGGCAAGGCCCUAAUCCCAGAUGAAUCCAAUAUCUGUUUUUGCCUGGCCUCCACCUGGGCUGUUGAGUGCUGGUGAUGAAAAUCUCACAACAGGGCAGAUGGAUAUUGAUAUAAAUGCAUGGCCGCACCUGCAAAUGGGCCCUCAACAUUGGCU